CAUUACUACCAUAUUUCCAAGUUUCUCCCACAAAAAUACCACAUUUUAAAAAACUUUUCCUUUAUACCACAAUACAAAACAAGAAAUGACUAAAAUGUCCUCCAAAUUAACUAAACGAAAAAGACAAAAACAAACAAAUUAUCUCCUUCCUUUUAUUUUCUAUUUUCUCUCUCCUAUGUUCUCUCCUUUUUUCUUCUUCCUCUCUCUUUUCUCUAUCUCUUUCACCACUUCUGUGGUUAAUAAUCAAGAUGAGAUCCAAGAACUACCCAUCGUCGGAGAUCAUCAUCACUGCCGUCACCGCCUUUGUACUUGGAGAUCUUGCCGUCUUCUUCCGUCUCCUUUCAUUCUAAGAUUUAAGGCACCGCCAUCGUUUCACAAUGUCGUCCAAACUAUUGUUAUCACCGGAGCUCGUCGAUGUUGCCGCUGUCAUUUCUAAGCCACAAUCGUGAUUGUAAUCUUUGGUGUUGCGUCGUUACAUUAAAUAUUAGAAAGUAUUGUCUACAUGAGAUAUUUUAUCUUUCGUAUUGUCCAUUAAAAAUUGAUGGACAAAUUUAUGUUGUACCUUAUAUAAAGUUUUUUGGGGUUUUUUGAAAUCUACCCUAUUUAUGACUUAUAGUUUGAAAAAUACACCUUUUUAGUUUUUUUCUUGAAAAAUAUAUUUUUUAUAUGUAAUAGGACAUUUUAGUCCAGAUUUAUAUAUAAAAUAUAUUUCUAGUAAAUUAAAAUUAUAUAUUCGAAAUGAUAAGGAUGCUUUGUUGAUUUCAUAUGUUAAAAUUAAAAAGAUUAAUAUAUGAAAGUAUUCUAAAGUUUAUCAUUGAAUAUUUGUCAAGUUAUAUAGAGCCAGAGAGUCUUCAAUGUUCUAACGUCAUCACCAAAGUUUGCAUCUUCUUCAACAUCAACGUUUAAAAAAAAAAAUGGCAAAGUAAACUACUCAUACUAUUUUCUUCUGUUUUGUAUUUAUGUAUUUUCAAAAAAUAAAGAUCUUAAUAAUGUUUGAAAAUUUCCCACGUAGUUUUUGUCAUAUAGAAAAUUCAUUAUUGUUUUAGAAAAAUAUUUAAGAAAAUAAAUAUUUUUGGAAACGUUAGUUAGAUAACAGUUUUGUAAAAAUUGAAUAUUUAUUUAUCAUCAAUAGUUGAUUUUAUAUUAAAAUAUAGAUUUUUGUUAAUUACUAUCAAGUUUUAAAUUGGCUAUUUUAGUAAUUUUUACAUAUUAGAAAAUUAGUUUUUAAGACAAAAAUAAAAAGUAGGUAUUUUUCAAAAAUGUAAACAUAAACAGGGCAUUUCCCCAAAUUUACUCAAGUUUUUUUUAGUCCAUAUCAUAUAUGUUCACGAUAAUUAUUGUCCACAAUAUUUAUACAUGGUUUCUUUCAUGUUAUAUUUUAUUAUUUAUUUUAAAGGACAAACUUAACCAAACUUAAACAUCUUAUCUUAAUUCUAUAUCAUUUAAUCUUGGUGGACAAACUUAAGUUUAUUCUAUUAGUGUUUACAGAAUAAAUAUUGUCUAAAUAAAAUGUUUUAUCUUUCGUAUUGUCCAUGGACAAAUUUAUGUUGUACCUUAUAUAAAUAUAUAAAGUUAUUUAGUCCAUAUCAUAUAUAUUCACGAUAAUUAUUGUCCAUGAUAUUUAGACAUGGUUUCUUUCAGGUUAUAUUUUAUUAUUUUAUUUUAAAGGGCAAAUUUAACCAAACUUAAAUAUCUUCUCUUAACUCUAUACCAUUUAAUUUUGGUAGACAAACUUAAGUUUAUUCUAUUAAUAUUUAUAAAAUAAAUAUUGUCCAUAAUAUAUAUAUUCCACAAAAAUUAAUUACAUUAACAACAUAUUCUCAUAAGCUCACCACAACUACUUAUGUUGUGUACUUGUGAUCCCAUAAUGAACUACUUCUGUUGUGUAGUUGUGAAGCUUGUCAUCCAACAGGCGCUGACGUGUAAUUGUCCACAUACACAGUACUUUGGGCUCUGAACGCACAACACAAGUAUACAACAGAAGGUCCUACAAAAAAAAAAGUACACAACAGAAGGAGUCAAUUAUGGCACCACUAACUAUACUCCCUCUGUUUCUAAGUUAUCCUUCAAUUAAUGUACUAUAAAAGAUUUUUAUUGGUUAUUGGUUAAUUCAUAAAAGUCAUAGAGAUAAAAGUGAAAAAUUUGACAAAUAUCUACAUUGAAAAACAAAAACGACAACUAAACUGAAACAAAAAAUUAAAUCUAGAAUGACAAUUAUUUUGAAAGAGAGAGAGAGAGUAUUAGAUUAGACUUUAACAACAAAAUACACUAUAUUAAAUUAGAUAUUUGGAGUUAGUAAAAAAAACAGUAUAUUCGUAAUGAGUCUCAAAGCACUCAAACAUUGGACGUCAUAGCUAUGAAUUUGAUUUAAAUCAGUGUUUAUAUAAUUAAAAAGUCUAUACGGCCAUUUCAAUGGCAUUUAGACGUCAACUCGACAAUUUAUUUUUUCUAUUAAUCACAUACUCCCUCUAUUUCAAAUUAGUUGUCGUUUUAUAUGUUAAAUUUUGUUUCAAAUUAGUUGUCGUUUUCUAUUUUCAAUACAGAUUUUUGAUAGUUUUUCUAAUUUUACCCUUAUUAUUUUAGUUUUUCAAUUGAUGAAAUAAAAUAAAAUAAUAUAUUAAUUAGGGAUAAAACAAAAGAAUUAAAGGUUUUCUUAAUAUGCGUGAAAAAACUUUAAACGACAAGUAAAAAAACGGAGAGAGUAUUAAUUAGAAAUAAUGAUUGGUUAGAAAGACAAAUUGUUAUAGACGGUCAUCACCAAAACAAUCGGCAAUUAUUUUCUCACGCUAUAAUACGAAAACACAUGUUUCCAAAAUUAUAAGAUAAGUUUAUUGCGCAUUUAAAAAAAUAGAAAAUAAAUUUGAUGUUACAUUUUUUGUAGUACAUAAAAAAAGAUAAGAUAGUCUUUUCUAAUUGAUAUUCGGAAUCAAAAUAUAAAACUUAAAUAAUUUGUAUUUUAUAGUACCUUUAUCCAAAUAUAAAUUACAAAAUACUGUCUUAUCUUCUUUUCGCUUCAAUGAUGAAUAAGUUAUUUAAUUAUUUUCUAAAGUAAUCUUAAAGAGUCUACUGCUUUAAUUUUGGUGAUCGUCUACAAAGUUAAAAUUAAUGAAAUAACAUUAUAGUAUACAUCUUUAUCAAAAAACAUUAUAGUAUACACACGUGAUGGAACUGGAUUUGCAGAAUGAGAUAACCAUUCCAAGUCUUAAAGAUAGAUCAGUCGACAACAUUCUUUAGUCCUAUUUUAUUUGUGUCUCUCCACUUACAAUUGUCUCUUUCUUGCUGUCUGCAUUAUCCCAUGUGACCUCAAAAACAACAUUGCUCCUACGAUUAGUCUCUCGGACGAUAUAAUAUCUAAAAUUUCACAGAUUACCUACUUUUAAAUAACCAUCCAGAAACUANNNNNNNNNNNNNNNNNNNNNNNNNNNNNNNNNNNNNNNNNNNNNNNNNNNNNNNNNNNNNNNNNNNNNNNNNNNNNNNNNNNNNNNNNNNNNNNNNNNNGAAAUUGUUAUAGACGGUCAUCACCAAAACAAUCGGCAAUUAUUUUCUCACGCUAUAAUACGAAAACACAUGUUUCCAAAAUUAUAAGAUAAGUUUAUUGCGCAUUUAAAAAAAUAGAAAAUAAAUUUGAUGUUACAUUUUUUGUAGUACAUAAAAAAAGAUAAGAUAGUCUUUUCUAAUUGAUAUUCGGAAUCAAAAUAUAAAACUUAAAUAAUUUGUAUUUUAUAGUACCUUUAUCCAAAUAUAAAUUACAAAAUACUGUCUUAUCUUCUUUUCGCUUCAAUGAUGAAUAAGUUAUUUAAUUAUUUUCUAAAGUAAUCUUAAAGAGUCUACUGCUUUAAUUUUGGUGAUCGUCUACAAAGUUAAAAUUAAUGAAAUAACAUUAUAGUAUACAUCUUUAUCAAAAAACAUUAUAGUAUACACACGUGAUGGAACUGGAUUUGCAGAAUGAGAUAACCAUUCCAAGUCUUAAAGAUAGAUCAGUCGACAACAUUCUUUAGUCCUAUUUUAUUUGUGUCUCUCCACUUACAAUUGUCUCUUUCUUGCUGUCUGCAUUAUCCCAUGUGACCUCAAAAACAACAUUGCUCCUACGAUUAGUCUCUCGGACGAUAUAAUAUCUAAAAUUUCACAGAUUACCUACUUUUAAAUAACCAUUUUUUUUUUCAAAAUUCGAAAGUUACUUUGUAUUUUUCUUCAAAAGAUUUGAUGGGUUAAAAAAUAAUAAUAAUAGCGAGUGGAGGAGAGCUAGCUAGCUUUAGGUCCGUGAACAUGUGAAGAGAGAUUAUAAUGACACAUUUGCGUGACCACCUUUUUGCCGGAAAACGGGUUUUUUCAUACUCUCACUAGGAAUUAACGGGAAAUUUGUCAUUACUACCACAUUUCCAAGUUUCUCCCACAAAAAUACCACAUUUUAAAAAACUUUUCCUCUAUACCACAAUACAAAACAAGAAAUGACUAAAAUGUCCUCCAAAUUAACUAAACGAAAAAGACAAAAACAAACAAAUGAUCUCAUUCCUUUUAUUUUCUAUUUUCUCUCUCCUAUGUUCUCUCCUUUUUUCUUCUUCCUCUCUCUUUUCUCUAUCUCUUUCACCACUUCUGUGGUUAAUAAUCAAGAUGAGAUCCAAGAACUACCCAUCAUCGGAGAUCAUCAUCACUGCCGUCACCGCCUUUAUACUUGGAGAUCUUGCUGUCUUCUUCCGUCUCCUUUCAUUCUAAGAUUUGAGGCACCGCCAUCGUUUCACAAUGUCGUCCAAACUAUUGUUAUCACCGGAGCUCGUUGAUGUUGCCGCUGUCAUUUCUAAGCCACAAUCGUGUCUAAUUAUAAUUUUUGGUGUCGCGUCGUUACAUUAAAUAUUAGAAAGUAUUGUCUACAUGAGAUAUUUUAUCUUUCGUAUUGUCCAUUAAAAAUUGAUGGACAAAUUUAUGUUGUACCUUAUAUAAAGUUUUUUUUGGUCCAUAUCAUAUAUGUUCACGAUAAUUAUUGUCCACAAUAUUUAUAUAUGGUUUCUUUCAUGUUAUAUUUUAUUAUUUAUUUUAAAG
RNAcentral lists this long non-coding RNA (5037 nucleotides) under Arabidopsis lyrata. Its description in RNAcentral is "long non-coding RNA (ALYR_LNC000123)". Lineage: Eukaryota; Viridiplantae; Streptophyta; Magnoliopsida; Brassicales; Brassicaceae. The record is from RNAcentral.